Molecule: non-coding RNA, 83 nt
Organism: Osmerus eperlanus (European smelt)
Lineage: Eukaryota; Metazoa; Chordata; Actinopteri; Osmeriformes; Osmeridae
Source: the annotation of a RefSeq genome assembly
ACCAGGAUGGCCGAGCGGAUAAGGCGUUGGAGUCAAGUUCCAAUGGAUGUAAAUCCUCGUGGGUUUGAACCCCACUCCUGGUA